UGUUGAAAAUGACACUGAAAUGAAGUAAGCAUUGAUAAUUAUGGGAAUCUUCAAAGCUAAGCAUGCAGUUCAUUGACAUGUAUACUUACACUGAAAUGAUCCCUGCAAGUAUUACGGGUUUUCGACCAAUGCGAUCAACUAUAGCUCCCCACAACAAAGAUGUCAAACAUCUGCCAAGCAUGAAUACAGAACCUACCACAUUUUUAUCAAUAUGUAAUUAGGUAUACGGGCAAAGAUUUCCCCAAUCGAAACUCUAGUAUGAGAAUCAUUAAACUUGCUAAAAAUAAAAUCAAAAUAAAAAAACCAUACCUAAUUGUGCGAACAACUUGAAGCCUGUGACACUGAAGAUCAUAUUGCGUUUGAGCACCGUCACCGACAAUAUUCCGAGUCGCAAGCACGAGAUAUAGAGAUUGAGAAUGAUUUACCUGAGCUUGAGCAAGGAAAGAGACAGUGAGAUGAACCAAUUGGACGAGAUUGAGAACGAGAACGGCAGUGAUAAAGAAUAACGAAACUGAGAGUGAAGUAGAUGAAGGAGACAGUGUGGAGAAGAAGAAUGAGACUUACCUGGAUUUGAACAAAGAACAAGAUAGUGAGACGAACCAAUUGAAUGAGACUGAGNNNN
This 622-nucleotide long non-coding RNA is filed under the name Phaseolus vulgaris (common bean). RNAcentral describes it as "long non-coding RNA (PVUL_LNC001477)". The record is from RNAcentral. Lineage: Eukaryota; Viridiplantae; Streptophyta; Magnoliopsida; Fabales; Fabaceae.